AGAGGGGGCGAGCGUUGUUCGGAAUUACUGGGCGUAAAGGGCGCGUAGGCGGCCUGUUAAGUCGAACGUGAAAUCCCCGGGCUCAACCCGGGAACUGCGUCCGAGACUGGCAGGCUCGAAUCCGGGAGAGGGAUGUGGAAUUCCAGGUGUAGCGGUGAAAUGCGUAGAUAUCUGGAGGAACACCGGUGGCGAAGGCGGCAUCCUGGACCGGCAUUGACGCUGAGGCGCGAAAGCCAGGGGAGCAAACGGGAUUAGAUACCCCGGUAGUCCUGGCCCUAAACGAUGAAUGCUUGGUGUGGUGGGUAUCGAUCCCUGCCGUGCCGAAGCUAACGCAUUAAGCAUUCCGCCUGGGGAGUACGGUCGCAAGGCUG
RNAcentral lists this ribosomal RNA (371 nucleotides) under uncultured bacterium. Its description in RNAcentral is "bacterial SSU rRNA". It matches the Rfam family "Bacterial small subunit ribosomal RNA", at positions 527 to 896 of the family's 1533-position model. The record is from RNAcentral.